AGAGAGGACCAGGAAAUGGAGAGAAAAGCAACUUGCACAGAGCAAGAAAUACACGGAAAGAAAGCAGAAUGGAACUAUGUGCAAUGAACAAGAAAAGAGACCUUGGAUUAUACCCAUGCAAGAAAGUGUGGCCUGUGACCUCCAUUGCUUUGUAAUUGCAGGGUGAGGAAAUAUGACUCAGCAAAAUAUUUUAUUUCUUGUGAAUUCAAACAACAAACUAUCUCUAUGCACCUAAGAAGGGGAGAUCAGGAACAAGCAAACAGCAGAGUCAGGUUUCAGUCAUCCAAUCAGGGAGCAGACUCAAUACCAUAUGCCUUAAGUGACCAGUCACAUGCCAUGAAGAACAAAUGGUCAAACAGAACAGUCUGCAAAGUUCCCAGAGAUUGAACAGGUUUUCCCCAAACUAUUUGACAAUCUCCAUUGCCUUUGUUUGGCUUCCAGAAAAUCAGUGUUCGAGCUGGGCAGGAGGAAGAGAUAAGCCAAUGGCUUCCUCUCCGAGAUCAUUAGCCUGGCGAGUCGGGAGAAGGCAAACAGCAGUGCAAGAGUUCAUGCUCUUGCCACUGGGCUGCAGUCUGACACCAUCUUGUUUUUUCUCAUGGAGGCCACUGAACGUGCUCUGUGCCUCCACGACGUUCUGUCCUGAGCUAAAUCCGGCAUGUUACAAGGUAGGAUGUCAGUGAGGGACAGGUGUCUGUUGACACUGUAUGGCCAUUGUGUUUUAGGUAUUCCGGUAUAUCGCUUUCAUUGGGUCAAAGUUGAAGAUAAUUCUCACAGGAAGUCAGUAGGCAUUCGGCGCAGAUGGCCAUGCCAUCACAGAGAGCGUCGGGUGACCAUUUGAGAGAGCAGGACUUGUUAUGUUAGAAAAUGGAUCUCUUCAUUUGACUUGAAUUUCUGCCAUUUGAUUUAAUCUUUCAGAGAUGCUUGGUAGUGAGGGGUAUGUUUCAGUCUCACAGGGCAGAUUGCUGACCUCCAACGCAUUAUAUAGCCUUGGCUUCAUCUCUCUAUGGAUCAGGAUGUUCAAUUUGCAAAAGAUGUUCUUAAUGGGGAGCCCCAUUACUGACAAUGCUUUUGCAGUGUGGCCUUCAAGUUGUUUCUCAUUGCCACCCACGUAAUCAACAACAAAGCCAAGGUGGGUGAAAUUAUUGACAAUCUCAACUGGGUGGUCGCUCACUAAUAGGCUAGAGCCCCUGGCAUAUUCAUGUUCAACCAGAAGAAUUUUGGUUUUACCCCAGUUAAUUUUCAGGGUGACUUUUGUCACUGAGUUUCCCAGGGCUUUAAGAACCACAACUAGCUCGUCCAUUGGUUCCACAACUAGUGCUAUGUCAUUAGCAAAGUCAGUGUUGGUGAGGUUCUUAUCAUCAAGGCAGAUGUGUAAAAUGCAUUUAAUUAGUGUCUCAUCAAGCAUGCAGUCUAUGAUGGCAUUGAAGAGUUCUGGGGCAGCAAAACGUCCUUGUUGAAUGCCCGACCUAAUUCAGAAGACCGCGGUUCUUUUCCCAUUUACAAGAAUGCAGCUUGAGGAGUCAUCAUAUAGGAGCUGGACCAUUCUACAAGGAGGCUGGUGAGUUUCGAGAUCAGCCACAUGCUGCCUUUAAUUUGUACCCAUCUUUAAUUUGUACCCAUCUAUAAUGUCCCCUCUCUAAGGCAAACCAUCUCUCCUCAGAGUCUGGCUGUAGUCUAGGACCUUCCUUAGUCGAGAAACGCCCCCUCUCACCCCCAUGCCAGCCUGCAAGCAGCAGAGGUGCCUGGAUUCAGAAGGGCUUCUCAGCUUUGGGAUUUACAACCCUCUCCCCUCCUGCAUCUCUAUGUGUGACAUAACCUGGGCCAGCUCACCUCUCAGGCAUGCUGCAAAGCCCAGAUGGGGAGGCAGCCCUUUGAGGAGAGCUGAGGUAGUUGUGGGAGGGGCUGGUUUGUGGGUAGGUGAGGUGGGGGGGCGUUGUUUUGUGGCUCUGGGGUAGGGAGAUACGCAAUGUGGUUUUGAUGUUCUAAUUAUUUGUGUGCCAGGCUUUUAAUUGUCGCCCCAGGCCUAAUGCUUUUCAUAAGGUGUUCGUUAGUGCGGUGUUUAAAUCCAAAUAAAUAAUCAUUUUCAUUGCCCUCCUUGGACCCCUACUGUCUCUGGUGUGUGAAAAAAUGUAUCAGACAGAGAGACAGGCCCCUAUCCGAGGGACACUGUGGUGUCUGAAGGCAAGACUUUGACUUGCCUGGUAGCCCAAAGGAGAGAAAUAAUGAUAGAAUUUAACAUUGGAUAUUGAAUGUGAUACUUUGUAACAUAAAAGCAAAAUCACGGCAAAAUUAUCAUCUUAAUUGUAUUAAUGCCGCCAAUUAGAGACACAGCUCGUGUUGCGCAGCAGGAGAGUUCCAGGAUGGAAGGGAAGAUAAAUGAUCUGCAAACUCCUCGUUUUGUCUGUGUAAAUUAUCACCCCCAGGUAUUUAAUAGAGUCGCUAGCCCUGAUCACUGAGCACUGUUCUGAGAGUGCAUUAAGGAAGAGCCCACAGACCUGCUCUGUUUUGUCCAAAGUAGCUGAAGUUGUUGCAUUGCCCAGAGUUGAAUUGGAAAGGAGAAUUGGGGUCUAAAUCACAUAUCAUCAGCACACAGCAAAACAGAACUGAGCGAGUUUGUAAACCUGAUACACUGCAGCUUGCUAGGCCUGGUCCAGCUCCCAUUAGUGCCAUCACAAUGAGAGAAUUAGGCAGCUGGCAUGCUGUGAUCAUGUGAUCAGAAUCCUUUCCUUCUUACCACCUUGUGCUUCCCCACCAGUUGUCUCUCAUCUUAUCCUUAGAUUGGAAGGUCUUUGGGGAGGGACUGUCUCUUUGUUCUAUGUCUAUAUAGCGCCUAGCGCAAUGGGGGUGGGGUUCCUAAGUCUCCUGCAAUACAAAUCACAGAAGGACCAUGCUGACUUCAGUCGGAGCUGGACUUGGCCCUCUGAGCUAUAAACAAGGAGGUUUCAUCAUCAACUAUGAUGAUGAAAAAGGGAUGAGUUUUGAGACAACCUUGGUCAGUUCCUUGAGGCAGUGAAAAGCAGGAAGAGGUAUUGUUAUUUGUGACUAUUGAGUGGACUGAAGAAGCCUAGAAAAAAGUAAUCCAGAUUAUAGAUUCUCCAAAAUUCUCUGUCUUCAGAACAUUCAGGAGGGAUCGUUCAAUAUCGGAGGAAAAGUACUUGAUGCUUCAGGACCUCCAGACACAAAAGGUUCUUCACUGGCAAUAAAGUAUGUGGAGAAAAUUCUCAAUAUCAUGGUUCAUGCCUAGCAUUUCAUUUGGUUUUUCCAUGAAGGUCCCAUCAUUGAGAUGUUUAGAUUAAAGAUUAAAUAUUCUGACUAUUGCAAAUGGGUUGAAUCAAACACCUGCUCCAAACAGGCCUGGACUCCAAGGUGUUUGCCAUCUGGACUCCAAUGUAGGGACAAAUGUUGAGGAUUUGACCAUGUCCACUUUGAAUCUUUCCUCCUAAGUCGAUUCCUUUUGCUCAUCUCUUCUAAUGCACUUCUAAUCUAUUGUUGUCUUUUUAGUAGUGAGGUGCCCAGAAUGGAAUGUAGUGCCCCAGGUAAUGCUAAACUCAAGCCAAGGAAACAGAGCUGUCCUAUUCUUGUGUUGCCUUGCAGACGUGCAAAACCAUGGUUGUGUUGGGUUCGUAAAACCUCCUUCACUGGGAUUUAGCUUGGAAAGCAGGGCUGGUUCUGAUCCGGGUCCUUGUAUACAAAUCUGCAAGAUUCACAGAGAAAGGGGGAAUUCAGGAUAAAUAGUUCUAGUAUGGGCUCAUAUCUAACAAGAAUCCCCUUUCGAAUUCACAGUGUUCCAUUACCAGCCCCCUACUUGGCUCCUGGCUCUGCAGAUAUGGGCUCCAAAGUCAAUGAAGAGCAGAGCUGAGUGUGUCACUCAGCAGUUCCAUAGUUAGAUUCACCUCGCCUAGCUUAGCCUAGAGAGGUUGUGUGGUCCUGUGGCUAGAGUACUAGAUUAUGAAUCGGGAUAGCUGGGUACUCCACCCACUGCUGACCUAUUUUGUGACCCCAGGCAUAUCACUUCCUCUCUCUCUGGUCCUGCUCUCCCAUCUACCUUGUCAAUUUAGAUUUUAAACUCUUUGGGGCAGGUACCAUCUCUCAUUACAUGUGCAGUUCCUGGUACACCUCUACCUUGAUAUAACACUGUCCUCGGGAGCCAAAAAAUCUUACCGCGUUAUAGGUGAAACCGCGUUAUAUCGAACUUGCUUUGAUCUACCGGAGUGUGCAGCCCCACCCACCCGGAGCACUGCUUUAUCGCAUUAUAUCCGAAUUCAUGUUAUAUCGGGUCGCGUUAUAUUGGGGUAGAGGUGUAUAAUGGGUCUCUGAUCUUGGUUGGGGCCUCUAGGCACAACUACAAUCAUAAUAAAGUAAUAAUAAAACCCAGUUUAGAAACCUAUUCAACCAUUGCCAAGGAAGGAGCAGUGACCUACAGAAGAACUCUGAAGGGGAAUCCUAGAAAGGAAGGGGAUGAUCCGCUUAACUGGGAGGUUACAACCUCCAAUGAUUUUGCGCUCUUUUCAGCAAGGCUGCAAAGUGAGCUGUGAACUCUGGCAGCGACCCCUCCGCGUGGAGCCGUCGCACUGGUGAAGAAAAGGCGGCUGUGUAAACAGGCAAGAAGAGGAAGCAAUAUUAAGUCAAAAUAA
Long non-coding RNA from Malaclemys terrapin pileata, 4634 nucleotides. RefSeq lists it as uncharacterized. NCBI's taxonomy places the organism in Eukaryota, Metazoa, Chordata, Testudines, Emydidae. The record is from RefSeq and is a predicted model, not a curated record. The transcript has 3 exons.